UACAGAGGGUGCGAGCGUUGUCCGGAAUCACUGGGCGUAAAGGGCGCGUAGGCGGCCUGCUAAGUCGAACGUGAAAUCCCCGGGCUCAACCCGGGAACUGCGUCCGAUACUGGUUGGCUUGAAUUCGGGAGAGGGAUGCGGAAUUCCAGGUGUAGCGGUGAAAUGCGUAGAUAUUCGCAAGAACACCAGUGGCGAAGGCGGCUCACUGGCCCGAUACUGACGCUGAGGUGCGAAAGCGUGGGGAGCAAACAGG
This 253-nucleotide ribosomal RNA is filed under the name uncultured bacterium. Its description in RNAcentral is "partial 16S ribosomal RNA". It matches the Rfam family "Bacterial small subunit ribosomal RNA", at positions 524 to 776 of the family's 1533-position model. The record is from RNAcentral.